RNAcentral lists this non-coding RNA (22 nucleotides) under Rattus norvegicus (Norway rat). Lineage: Eukaryota; Metazoa; Chordata; Mammalia; Rodentia; Muridae. The record is from RNAcentral.
CUCCUUCUGACCAUGCUGCCUU